RNAcentral lists this ribosomal RNA (208 nucleotides) under uncultured bacterium. RNAcentral's name for it is "partial 16S ribosomal RNA". It matches the Rfam family "Bacterial small subunit ribosomal RNA", at positions 29 to 264 of the family's 1533-position model. The record is from RNAcentral.
AACGAACGCUGGCGGCAGGCUUAACACAUGCAAGUCGAGCGCUCACUUCGGUGGGAGCGGCAGACGGGUGAGUAACGCGUGGGAACAUACCUAGUAGUACGGAAUAACGUUUGGAAACGAACGCUAAUACCGUAUACGCCCUUAGGGGGAAAGAUUUAUCGCUAUUAGAUUGGCCCGCGUUGGAUUAGUUUGUUGGUGGGGUAAUGGC